GACGAACGCUGGCGGCGUGCUUAACACAUGCAGGCCGAACGGUGAAGCGCCUUCCUUUUUGGUGGGUGUGGAUGAGUGGCGAACGGGUGAGUAACACGUGAGUAACCUGCCCCCUUCUUCUGGAUAACCGCAUGAAAGUGUGGCUAAUACGGGAUAUUCUGGGUCUGUCGCAUGAUGGGUCUGGGAAAGAUAUUGUUUCGGUGGGGGAUGGGCUCGCGGCCUAUCAGCUUGUUGGUGGGGUGAUGGCCUACCAAGGCGGUGACGGGUAGCCGGCCUGAGAGGGUGGACGGUCACACUGGGACUGAGACACGGCCCAGACUCCUACGGGAGGCAGCAGUGGGGAAUAUUGCACAAUGGGCGCAAGCCUGAUGCAGCGACGCCGCGUGAGGGAUGGAGGCCUUCGGGUUGUGAACCUCUUUCGCCAGUGAAGCAGGCCUGCCUCGUUUGUGGGUGGGUUGACGGUAGCUGGAUAAGAAGCGCCGGCUAACUACGUG
RNAcentral lists this ribosomal RNA (494 nucleotides) under uncultured bacterium. RNAcentral describes it as "partial 16S ribosomal RNA". It matches the Rfam family "Bacterial small subunit ribosomal RNA", at positions 28 to 507 of the family's 1533-position model. The record is from RNAcentral.